GGAGAGAUGGCUGAGUGGCCGAAAGCACUUCCUUGCUAAGGAAGCGACUGGGUAACACUGGUCCGUGGGUUCGAAUCCCACUCUCUCCGCCA
Molecule: transfer RNA, 92 nt
Filed under: Zetaproteobacteria bacterium
Lineage: Bacteria; Pseudomonadati; Pseudomonadota; Candidatius Mariprofundia
Description: tRNA-Ser
Rfam family: tRNA
About the family: Transfer RNA (tRNA) molecules are approximately 80 nucleotides in length. Their secondary structure includes four short double-helical elements and three loops (D, anti-codon, and T loops).
Source: RNAcentral